ACAAGUUACAGAAAGAAAAUAGUAUUUCUAUGCUCCAGAAUCUAUCAAAAGGGAACACAAGAACUAGUUUACACAUUGAAGAGUAGAUAGGGACUCUGAGGUCUACGGAUGCAGAAGAUAUACCUUGAUGUCUCUACAGGUUGCUCGCCUCACAUAUAAGGCGGCUGAAAAGCGGAUCUUGGAUCUGCACAUGAAAAAUAUGUGCAGCAAAGGGCAUGGUACACCACAACCCAGUAAGUACCAAGCCUAACCUCAAGUAGCGACGAGAUCAGUCUAGGACCCUACUGGUAUAAAUAUAAUGAAAUAAGAUAGAAUAAAAUAUCACAGUUAAAAUAAAUACAGAAAUCUAACAGGAAUAGUCAUAGAAAGACAACUGCUCAGAACGAAGAGAUAACAACAUGGGAUCUCACGAGAUAGCGUCUCAUAGUCCCAAAUAUAAAUGUGCAGGGGAAUCUCCUGAAAUACCUUUCCGUAGUCCCAAAGUGAAUGUGCAGUAUAGGGGGAUCUCCCGAAUACCGUUGUGUAGUCCUAAAGUAAAUAUACUGUCCCACCAAUAGAAAUGAUUGUUACGGCAAGAAAACCUACAAUUUUGAAUUAGUUCAAGUCAAGGAAAGCCCAUAAU
This 622-nucleotide long non-coding RNA is filed under the name Nicotiana benthamiana. RNAcentral describes it as "long non-coding RNA (NBEN_LNC041757)". The record is from RNAcentral. Lineage: Eukaryota; Viridiplantae; Streptophyta; Magnoliopsida; Solanales; Solanaceae.